AAAGUUAGCAACAACAGUUAAAUGUGGAUCUGGGUUCGAAAGUGGGCUCGAAAGCAAUCCCUAAAACGAUAAGUCAUACAACUCCCAUUUCCAAGUGGCCCCAACGUCCAAGCCCAAAGUAAACCCAAAUCAGGCAAAAGGAUGAAUGCUAAAGGAUAUGGGACUCAAGAUCGAGUCCCUACAGAAACAAGGAAACAUUUGAAGCCAAAGGAAUCCAGCUGAACCCCUUGACUAUGAACUGGCUCGAGUGUUCAAAUACCAUUAAACUAAAUCAAUUUCAACAGAGUAAGCAAGAAAUGUGCAUUAUCUAAUUUAGACGCAAACAUGUAGAAAAUUAAAACACUACAUAAUUAAUGAACCAUAUACCCCUUUGCUUGAACAUUGAAAUUACUGCCAACUGCUAUUGAGUUCAUACAUAGUAAUUUUAACAGUGAAAACUCUAGACAUUAAGCAUACAGUGACCCAAUAGCCCUUGAGUUCAUUCAAUUUUUCUUAAAACAAAACUUAAAUUAUAAACAUCAAAAUCGUUAGUAGAGGUUAACUUGGAACUUAACAUCACUGAGAUUGAACUAAUUCAAUCAAAAUCUAAAAGUAGUGUUACUUAUCCAAAUCGAAUCUACACUAUGAUAGUACAAAUAUCCAAGGACUCAGCAGAAAUAGUUUAAACUAGGCUGAAACCAAAAUAACACAUGAAAGUCCAAUAUAACCCCAAUACAAAUUGUAAUGUCUAUGGCAUGAAUAAAUACAAUGAAUCAAGUAAUAGAACAUAAUUUAAUAUAGAACAAGUAUAAUUUUUCAAUAACACAACUUGAUAUUCAGCUAACUAAAGUUUACAUCUCCCAUCAUGCUUCAGAUUCAAGCUUCACACAUCAAUAAAGUCCAAAGAUGUAUUUGGAUAUCAAAGUAAACCAAAAGAAAAUGAAGAUUUCAGCAGUAGCAGCUGAUCGAAUGAAUCAGCAGGCCAAACACAGCAAGGUUCAAGCUCCCUUAGACCAUUUGUGACCCAGACAACAGAAAUUCUUUAAAAUUUUGGAAAUUCUGACUAACUAUGAAGAUCAAGAGCAAGACCAAAGCAAAUUUCAACCAAAAAAAUACAGAAAAUGUUCAGUAUUUUUAGAGUAUCAAAACUUGCCUGAAAAAUGAAUGAAAGAGGUCCUUAAAUAAGUAGCCUAAGGCAGACCUAGUACAACUAACCAAUUCCCUUUCUACCCUUUCUUUCUUGGUUAUUUUACCCAUUUUAUCCCUUUAAAAAUAUUUGAAACCCUUGCCCUUAACAAACCAGCUCUCAUCUUAUACUCUAGAACCUUCUAUGCUAAUAGAAAAUGAUUCCCUCAAGCCUCAAAUCCCUAAAUUGGCCCUUGACACCCUGUAUUUACCUUCAGAGUGCCAAGUUGGGUCAUGUUAAUCCAAGACCCCAAAUGAACGGGUCUCUUAACUGGGUCAGUGAUGACCAAAGUUAAUACAAGAGACCAAACCAUCACAAAUGAUGAAACAAAGAAGCUCAGAUUCAGAAGAAAAAAAAAAGAUAAACAAUAUUUCAGAACUUUACGAUUAAACCUGACUUAACUACUUAACUAAAAUGAAAUUCACCAUUAAAGAAGACAAGACAAAAUAAUGAAGCAAAUAAAAAAGAAGACCAGGAAAAUGUUGUAAUGAACAGGGUCAUGAGAAAAAAAACGGAAAAGUACCAAUUAUGCCGAAAUGACUUGACCAUUUGAGACGACUCGAUAAGCAGUGAAGGGAGUCGAGGAUUGGUCAUAAUCCAAUGAGUUUGCCAAAAUCUAUCGUACUCGGAAUGAGCUAAAACCAACGCCAAUCGAUUGCUCAUGUUAAGAUCAAUCGACUAAUGUAAGUUAUAGGUCAAAGCAAGCCGGAACUCCCCGCGAAUUUAGAAAAAUAGAAUAACCUAGGGUUUGAACUUCCUAGAUUUGGAAUUAGGGAAAUUGUGAUGGGAUUUUUGGGAAAUAGGUGUUGGGGAUAGGAUUUAGAAGGGCCUGAGGGUGCAUGGUACGAAUUUGGGAUGGUUUGGAGCCGCCGCCGGCGGAUGGCUUGGGAAUUCCAAGGAGGCGGGUUUAGGAUUCAUAAAGAAGCUCUGAGUGAGAAGAUGAAUGAGGGGGCGAUUUGGGGAGGUAGGGUUACUUCCGACAUUUAAAUAUAAGUGAUCUCCCAGUUCUUAGCCGUUCGAUGAGUAAAAAUCAAUAGUUGGGAUAAAAA
Molecule: long non-coding RNA, 2214 nt
Filed under: Nicotiana benthamiana
Lineage: Eukaryota; Viridiplantae; Streptophyta; Magnoliopsida; Solanales; Solanaceae
Description: long non-coding RNA (NBEN_LNC031032)
Source: RNAcentral